This is a long non-coding RNA of Manduca sexta (tobacco hornworm), 592 nucleotides long. RefSeq lists it as uncharacterized. The transcript is spliced from 2 exons. The record is from RefSeq and is a predicted model, not a curated record. NCBI's taxonomy places the organism in Eukaryota, Metazoa, Arthropoda, Insecta, Lepidoptera, Sphingidae.
UUGGGCCAUAUACUUUUUAUAUUUGUCUGCCUACUGGCUUCUGGACAAACCUUGCUAAUUGCAAUAUGGGGCCGCCACAAAGACAACAAUAACUAUUAUCUUGGUCGCAAUCACAAGAUGUACCAGUAUGCCCUUGCCCACAUUUAUAGCACCUUGGUUUAGAUCUGCAUGUAUCUUUAGUGUGUCCAUACCGGCAACAAUUGUAGCAUUGAAUUGACGGAUAAAUGUAUAGUUCUACUUUGAGGGAAUUAAAACACAUAAAUACUCUUGUGGGAAGGACCUGACCAUCAAAAACAUGUCCACCGGUACACCUCUUACGAGCCCCAUCCUGGUAACAUUAAAAGAUGGAAUAAAAGCUUCAUAACCUUUUCCAAUAAGGCAUGAUGUUUUAAGAAAGAAUUUGCAGCUGAGUGACUUGUGAAUGCCAUUGAAAUUUUGUUGCGACCGAUACGCUUCAAACUGCCUUGUACUAUGUUUGGCACCUGGUUUUAUACAAAAAUCUGCCAAAGCAUAUUGGAUGCAAAUUAAGAUCCUGUGUUACCUCUCCUGUACUAGACCUAGCAACAUGAAUAAUAAAUGGUGAAGCAUCCAA